AGAAGCUUAUGAAAAGUUCAAAAGAAGUGCAGUGGGGACUGCAUUGUACAUUCAUCCCUGCCUGUCAGAAAUUUCAGAGGGUGAUGCUGCAGAUAGGGCGAGCAACUUGACAGAUGCCACUGUUGACAGCUUGAUUGAGUCUAUCAUCAUUAAAGAUGGGGUGAAAGCCAAGUUUUUCUUUAACAUUAUGUCUCUUGCUAACUCUGCAGGAGAGAAGUUGCUUGCCUUCAGUCAAUAUAUACUUCCCAUGAAAUUUUUGGAAAGGUUGUUGGUUAAGAGGCUGGGCUGGCAUGUAGGGAAGGAGAUUUUCAUGAUAUCUGGUGAUACUAGUGCAGACGACAGAGAAGUGGCGAUGGAUCAGUUUAACAACUCUGCCGAUGCAAAAGUUUUGUUUGGUUCCAUCAAGGCCUGUGGAGAGGGAAUCUCCCUUGUUGGUGCAUCUCGAGUCAUCAUUCUAGAUGUUCAUUUGAACCCAUCUGUCACCCGUCAAGCAAUCGGACGUGCAUUCAGGCCCGGACAGCAGAAGAAAGUGUUUGUGUACAGGCUUGUUGCUGCUGAUUCUCCAGAGGUGAAGUUCCAUGAAACUGCAUUCAAGAAAGAAGUUAUCCCAAAGCUAUGGUUUGAAUGGAGUGAGCUCUGCACUACUGAAGACUUCAAACUGAAUCAAGUUGAUAUUGAUGACUCUGAAGAUGAACUAUUGGAGGCUAAUGCUAUUCGCCAGGAUAUCAAGGCUUUGUAUAGAAGGUAACAAGUUAUAUGUGGCUGCUGUACACCAUGUACAUAAUGCAAUGCUGAUCUUUCUGGGUGAUCAUCGCUGUGAAGAUGUUACAGUAGCCCCUUCUAAUGCCGGAGUUCCGUUCAUGCUAGGAUUUAUCGUUAACCUCGGUCGUUUCCCUACCUAUUUGAACCACUGUCCGCUUUGUUAACAUGUGCCAGCUUGGCGCAGCGGUUCGCGAGCUGAUCCUAGUCUUAUUUCCUUCUGAAGAUCUCCAGGACUAAUAACUAUGGUUUCUGCCGUUCCUGCUAACAACUUAAAUAAUGCCACUGUUUCCUUACCUGUCUUUUGUGCACUUCAAUUGGUCUUCAAAUUUGCCCUUUUUGAUAGGGUAAAGAUAGUUUCUUUCUGCGCGUAACGGAAUGUAGGUUAUCCGUCGUGCAUUUGUGCAUCUCUUUUAUCUCCUUUGUUGCAGUACCUGGUUUUUGUGUCGACCAUUCUAGUUUCAAUUCUGGCUCCCAUGAAAGAUGCUUUAAGACUCGCAAUGCCAGGAUGCAUACUUUUUUUUUA
Molecule: long non-coding RNA, 1285 nt
Organism: Oryza sativa Japonica Group (Japanese rice)
Lineage: Eukaryota; Viridiplantae; Streptophyta; Magnoliopsida; Poales; Poaceae
Source: RefSeq, a predicted model, not a curated record